This 29-nucleotide small RNA is filed under the name Sinorhizobium meliloti 2011. Its description in RNAcentral is "putative ncRNA". The record is from RNAcentral. Lineage: Bacteria; Pseudomonadati; Pseudomonadota; Alphaproteobacteria; Hyphomicrobiales; Rhizobiaceae.
UGGCGGCAGCCGGAUGAGGGGCGAACGCU